CCUACGGGUGGCAGCAGUGAGGAAUAUUGGUCAAUGGGCGUAAGCCUGAACCAGCCAAGUCGCGUGAAGGAUGACGGCUCUAUGGGUUGUAAACUUCUUUUAUAAGGGAAUAAAGUGUGGCACGUGUCCCUUUUUGUAUGUACCUUAUGAAUAAGGAUCGGCUAACUCCGUGCCAGCAGCCGCGGUAAUACGGAGGAUCCGAGCGUUAUCCGGAUUUAUUGGGUUUAAAGGGUGCGUAGGUGGGUUGUUAAGUCAGUGGUGAAAGUCUGUGGCUCAACCGUAGAAUUGCAGUUGAUACUGGCAGUCUUGAGUAUAGUUGAGGCAGGCGGAAUGCGUGGUGUAGCGGUGAAAUGCUUAGAUAUCACGAAGAACCCCGAUUGCGAAGGCAGCUUACCAAGCCGUGACUGACACUGAUGCACGAAAGUGUGGGGAUCAAACAGGAUUAGAUACCCGUGUAGUC
This 460-nucleotide ribosomal RNA is filed under the name uncultured bacterium. RNAcentral's name for it is "partial 16S ribosomal RNA". It matches the Rfam family "Bacterial small subunit ribosomal RNA", at positions 338 to 795 of the family's 1533-position model. The record is from RNAcentral.